AUGGUUGGUGAAGGAGAUAUGCCUGGUAGUGAAACAGAGGGUUCUCCAAAUAGGACCUCUCGGCGGGACUCAAAACGGGCUGCUAAGCGGAAUGAGCUGGCAUCUUCAGGCUUUUCUAGUUGCACAAGAUUAAAUGAUUUUGGUAGGGUUCACGAUGACGGUGAGGAGCUGAGGACAGAAGGGGCAUUGGACAUGGGGGGUGGAGAAACCGCGUUGCGGCGUGCGCCGCGCAACGAGCGCGGUGGGCACGGCGGUGUGUGUGUGCUGCUGGCCGCUGCCGGUGCCACACCCGUCCUGCCGGCUAAUCGUCUCAUCACGCCACGUCGCCUCUUUUCCUUCUAUAUAAUCUCUCUUCUCUUGGAGUCGCUGCUGCUUCUCGAGAAAGCCAUCUCUUUUUUUUCCGGUUUCUUUCUCCUUCCAUGA
RNAcentral lists this ribosomal RNA (423 nucleotides) under Triticum aestivum (bread wheat). Its description in RNAcentral is "partial small subunit ribosomal RNA". Lineage: Eukaryota; Viridiplantae; Streptophyta; Magnoliopsida; Poales; Poaceae. The record is from RNAcentral.